This 498-nucleotide ribosomal RNA is filed under the name uncultured Glomeromycotina. RNAcentral describes it as "partial small subunit ribosomal RNA". It matches the Rfam family "Eukaryotic small subunit ribosomal RNA", at positions 591 to 1091 of the family's 1831-position model. Lineage: Eukaryota; Fungi; Glomeromycota. The record is from RNAcentral.
CCAAUAGCGUAUAUUAAAGUUGUUGCAGUUAAAAAGCUCGUAGUUGAAUUUCGGGACCAAUUUGUUGGUCGUGCCUCGGUACGUACUGGUAUUAUUGGUUUCUCCCCUCUGAAGAACCUCGAUGCCAUUAAUUUGGUGUCGUGGGGAAUCAGGACUGUUACUUUGAAAAAAUUAGAGUGUUUAAAGCAAGCAUACGCUUGACUACAUUAGCAUGGAAUAAUGAAAUAGGACGUUUGAUUCUAUUUUGUUGGUUUCUAGGAUCGACGUAAUGAUUAAUAGGGAUAGUUGGGGGCAUUAGUAUUCAAUUGUCAGAGGUGAAAUUCUUGGAUUUAUUGAAGACUAACUACUGCGAAAGCAUUUGCCAAGGAUGUUUUCAUUAAUCAAGAACGAAAGUUAGGGGAUCGAAGACGAUCAGAUACCGUCGUAGUCUUAACCAUAAACUAUGCCGACUAGGGAUCGGAUGAUGUUAAUUUUUUAAUGACUCAUUCGGCGCCUUAC